Molecule: transfer RNA, 78 nt
Filed under: unidentified
Description: Fusobacteria bacterium ZRK30 tRNA-OTHER
Source: RNAcentral
GGAAAUUAAGCUUUCUUCAAAACCGAGUUUUGGCGUUUAGUCGUCAUGGGUGGGUUCGAAUCCAACAUACUUCCGCCA